This is a long non-coding RNA of Sinocyclocheilus grahami, 1821 nucleotides long. The record is from Ensembl. Lineage: Eukaryota; Metazoa; Chordata; Actinopteri; Cypriniformes; Cyprinidae.
AGCGUCGCAUCGUUUUUUAAUCUGAAUGCAUGCGUAUUAGAUAACAAUAUCUGCUCCAAUCACAAUGGAUAUUCAUUUGUAGUGGGACAAAUGAUGAAAUCUAAUAAGACGGGCUUUGUUGGACAGGAUGUACUUUUAUCAUGCCACUGUUCUAAUGAGACCAAGGAACUGAUAUGGCAGAAGGGUCAGAGAGUAGUGAAUGUUCAUCCGCAUGACAAAAGCAUCAUAGAUGAUUCCUACGUAGAUAGGACGCAACUCUUCCUAAACAAGGAGAAGAGAAACUGCUCCCUGCUGCUCCGCAACUUCUCUUCAGAAGAUGAAGGACUGUACACCUGUCAUGCCCUUGCCAGUGUUGGUGACAACCUCUGGUCAAAGAGGUCAUCAGAAGUUAAUCUAACAAUGUCUGAAAUGAAGAACGACUCUAAAACAAAUGGCCAAACUGGAGGCAGUUCUGUCACAGCUGUGUCUGUUAGUGUUCCCAUAUUGGUAGUAGUGCUUAUACUGGCAGCUAGCCUGCUUCUAACCCUACUGAUCAGAAGACGACAUCGGACAAACACGGUAAUCAGUCUUUUGUCACUAAAUGACACAAAACAUCAUAGCAAAAUAAAAAAUCUCCACAAACAUUAAAAUAUCUAAAAUACACUAGUCUAAGGGGUUGUUCACACUGGAUGCCCUUUUUUUUUUCAAAUUAAUUUUCUAUGUAAACAUAAACCAUUGCACUGCAUCUUACUGUUUAUUCAGUCACAUUUUUGAGACACCAUGUUAAGCUAAAAGCAGAUGAACUUAAAAUGUGCUUCAAGACCGUUGCACUCGAUCUUCUUUUAAUUGCAAGAAUAUUACCCUUAAUGACAACGUUUGAGUUUUGCCAUGGUGCACUAAAGAAAUAGAUUUUAUGACCUCUUUAUAUACAUUUCUCCUAUUAUUUUUUCCAUUUGAAUGAACCGUUUUAGUUGUAAAGUAAAACCUCUUUCUGAAGUAGCCAAAUUCCUUGAAUAGUCUUCACGGCAAAAGUAAACCUAUACACCAGUUGCAGUCACAUACUUUUAGAGCACAGCUUUAGCGCUUAAGGUCCUGUGUUUGACACGUUUAGUCAUAGUACAUGAAACAUUUCCAAAAAGCCUGACUGUGAUUUUUUUAUUCUUUUUUGCUAUAGGACACUGGUUUACUGGCUGAGAGACCUAUGCUAAGGAAUGUGUGAAGUUCUCUUGCUUGAUAGUUUUAUGGACUAACUUCUAUGUUGUAAUGCAAGGUCCUUCACAACAACAAUGGACAAUACAAGGCCUUAGCCCUAAACAAAUUCGUUUGCAUGUGGGCAUCACACAGUGGUGCGUGCCGAUCCGUCUCGCUUCGGGACAGAUCAAUGUGCAGUCUUCAGUUGUAACACUGUUUGAUUACCACUGAAUUGUGAAUACACUGUGAAUAUACAUUCUGUAGGCAUUACAGUUUUGUAACUUGACAAGAUUCUCCUUGUAGGAACUGUCUUUAUUCAUUCUUUGAAGAACAUGUAGUAGUAGGGGAUGUGCAGUUUAUAUUUUGCCUUUUCCUCUCUCUUUGAGACACAUUGGUGGUCUCAGUCCUAAACAGGCUUUUCAAAUCACCUUAUUUUAUUGUUCAUAUGUGUACAGCAAUCAUUUACUAUCACAUCAUGUAAGCUUCUUUACAUUUACUCUUGUAUGGGUUGAUUUCCUCAGCCUGUGCUGAUUUUCAUUUAUGUGGAAGAAAUAUGUGGCACUCCCUAUGGGAUAUGUUUGCUUUUUUACUGUACUAAAUUUCAUUUACUUUUAAAUGAAUUCUGUAAAGUGCUUCAAACCUGCAGAGGCA